RNAcentral lists this transfer RNA (68 nucleotides) under Tachyta nana. Its description in RNAcentral is "tRNA-Asn". The record is from RNAcentral. Lineage: Eukaryota; Metazoa; Arthropoda; Insecta; Coleoptera; Carabidae.
UUAAUUGAAGCCAAAAUAUAGAGGCAUAUCACUGUUAAUGAUAUUAUUGAAUUUUAAUUCCAAUUAAA